This is a long non-coding RNA of Bos taurus (domestic cattle), 2180 nucleotides long. The record is from Ensembl. Lineage: Eukaryota; Metazoa; Chordata; Mammalia; Artiodactyla; Bovidae.
GAGACCAUCUGUGUUAAUAUGGCUUAAUUAAGAAUACGGAUCAGCUGAGCCACCCAUCCCCCCCACACACACCUCCCCCGCCGCCCGCAGGCUUCUACGGUUGCCAUGACGGCGGCCUUGUUCUGGGCUGCACUUGGCUUUGCACCUGUGCUCGAGUUCUACGUCUUCACCAUGGCCACCACUGCGCAUCAACUUUCUCCUCAUCGCAGACUUCUUCUGGUUGGUGUCUCUGCUGCUUUCCUCCCUUGUUUGGUUUAUGACAGCAGUCAUUACUGACAUCAAAGAUGGACCAGUGCGGAAAUGUCUGCUGAUUUUUGGAGUGUUAGUCUGUCCUUAGGCAAGAAAUGUGCCGGUUUGCAUGUUAUAAACCUUUUUUUUUUUUAAGCCAGUGAGGGCUUGAAGAGGAUAAACCCAGGUGAGAGCACCCUCUACGGACUGCUGGCUUAUGUCUCUGGCGUGGGCUUUGAAAUCAUGAGUGGAGCAUUUUCCUCUGUAAAUACUCUGUCUGAUUCUCUGGGGCCAGGCACAGUAGGCAUUCUUUGAGACCCUCUCCAGUGCUUCGGAAAUUCAGCUUUCAUGACACUGGUGAGCACAUUGCUGCACGUGUUCUAGAGCGUCGUGUUUUUGGAAGUGCCUGUGAGAAGAAAAAGUGGUACACCCUUCUUGUCAUUCUCACCUAUCUGCUGGUGUCAGCCCCAAGCUUCAUGAAUACUCACUGUGGAUUAAAUCUGGUGUCAGUGUGCAUCAUGCUGGUACUCACGGGCGUCUGGCCAUUCUCCAUUUCUGCCAAAGCCUGAAAUGUUGCCUGCUCUGCCAAGACUAGGACUUGCUCCUCUUCAACCAGUGCUCCAGACAACCCCCAAGGACCAGCACUUUUGAAAUGUCUUCUUGCCUGGAGAAUCCCAGGGAUGGGGGAGCCUGGUAGGCUGCCGCCUAUGGGAUCGCACAGAGUCAGACACGACUGACGUGACUUAGCAGCAGCAGCAGCAGCAGCAGGACAGCCCUUUAUCAUUUGUGAUAAAGAGAACCAUUCCAAACAUCUGAUAUGGACAUCAUCGCAUCCUUUGAACCUGUCAACUGCAAAGGAUCCUAACUGGAAACAGGUGCCCAGAAUUGGAAGAAGGCAUGAAUAUUGAAAGUCCAGGGCCUUCACUUAGCAGAUGAGGACGAGGACAACACUCUGCAAGCAGUCUCCCUGUUGAGAGGCUUCCCUGGUGGCUCAGUGGUAAAACAUCUGCCCGCCGAUGCAGAAGACACGGGUUCAAUGCAGGAGACACUGGAUCAAGAAGAUAAUCUGGAGAAAGAAAAUGGCAGCCCACUCCAGUAUUCUUGCCUGGAAAAUCGCACAGAGGAGCCUGGGGUGUAAGCUCAGCUCUCUGUUAGGCUCCACUAACCUCAGGGAAGAGGGAAUGAGAGUGCAAAGUCACACACAUUGUUGCUGCAGUUUCUGAACAGAAGCUCCCCUCCCCACUGACCCCUGCUGUUGCCUGGCUGGGAGAUAAUGAAGUACUAAUACAUUCAAUCUCAUUGCCUGAUGGGAAUGGAGGCUCAACUUGCCACUGAACCUCCCUGAUACUGUGGACCUCCCCAGUACUACCCUGGCAGGAGAAGGGGAGCAAAGUCAACUUCCAGUGGAAAGAUCAGCUCCUCACUCAGCCCAGCUGACACUAACUAGGCAGGGGGUCAGAGCAUCAGCUGCUUCCACCGAGCGGAAGACAGAAGGUCAGCUCCUCGUUCAGUCUCACCGACUUCACUCCCACAGGCAAGAGAAUCAGAGUACCACUGUCUGCUUCCACGAGUGAGCACAGAGGAGAAAUGGAAAAAUCAGCUUGCUGUUUGACCCCAUUGAAACCACAGGAAGCCAGGCAGUAUUUCUGUAGAUGUUUGGCUGGAGUAGGGCAGUUUUUUUAAAAGAAGCACAGAGAGAUGCAGACAUCCAGGAAGAAGGCCAUGUGACAGAGGCAGAGGCUGAAGUUAUGCAGCUAAAAGCCAAGGAACACCAAGGACGGCUGGCAACCAUCAGGAGCUGGGAAGAGUUAAGGGGGAAUCCCCUCCUAGAGCCUUCAGAAAGGGCAUGGCCCUGCUUACACCUUAAUUUCAGACUUCUGAUCUCCAGGGCGGGGAUCUUCCUGACCCAGAGAUCGAAUCCUGGUUUCCUGCAUUGCAAAAAGGUCUUUAAC